Molecule: unclassified non-coding RNA, 378 nt
Filed under: plant metagenome
Description: partial contains 5.8S ribosomal RNA, internal transcribed spacer 2, and large subunit ribosomal RNA
Rfam family: 5.8S ribosomal RNA (bases 1-105)
Source: RNAcentral
GAAAUGCGAUAAGUAAUGUGAAUUGCAGAAGUCAGUGAAUCAUCGAAGCUUUGAACGCACCUUGCGCUCCUUGGUAUUCCUUGGAGCAUGCCUGUUUGAGUAUCAUGAAAUCUUCAAAGUAAAUCUUUUGUUAACUCAAUUGGUUUCUACUUUGGUAUUGGAGGUCUUUGCAGCUUCACACCUGCUCCUCUUUGUUCAUUAGCUGGAUCUCAGUGUUAUGCUUGGUUCCACUCGGCGUGAUAAGUUAUCUAUCGCUGAGGACACUGUAAAAGGUGGCCAAGGUAAAUGCAGAUGAACCGCUUCUAAUAGUCCAUUGACUUGGACAAUACUUUUAUGAUCUGAUCUCAAAUCAGGUAGGACUACCCGCUGAACUUAAGC